ACCGAGAUUGACGAAGAAAUACAAGUUUCGAGGAUGCGGAUUAUCGUAAAUCGAACGGGUACGAGAUGGACAUGGAGACGAAGCUGAGCAAUUUUCUCUCAAUGACACCAAUGAUCUUGUAAAUCUUGGACCGUGCUUGCAACGAUCUUGUGAACGAUUCAUGUUACUCGGCUAGGCGUACCAUCACUUGUCGCAUUUACAAGGUAAAUAAACUGUGUAGCUGUAGCUGUGUAGCUU
RNAcentral lists this long non-coding RNA (237 nucleotides) under Neodiprion lecontei (redheaded pine sawfly). RNAcentral describes it as "uncharacterized LOC124295362". Lineage: Eukaryota; Metazoa; Arthropoda; Insecta; Hymenoptera; Diprionidae. The record is from RNAcentral.